CAAUAGCGUAUACUAAUGUUGUUGCAGUUAAAAAGCUCGUAGUUGAACUUCUGGUAGGAGUGUCCCGGCCUUUUUGUUUUUACAAAUUGUAUGCUGUGUGACAUCUCUGGCCAUCCUUCUUCUUUGUUUAAAGAAGAUCUUUCACUGUAAAAAAAUUAGGGUGUUCAAAGCAAAAGUUUCUUUGGAAUAUAUUAGUAUGGGAUGAUAAGAUAGGCUCUAGAUGCUAUUUUGUUGGUUUGCGCAUUUAGAGAAUGAUUAACAGGGACAGUUGGGGGUAUUCGUAUUUACAUGUCAGAGGUGAAAUUCUUGGAUUUUGGAAAGACGAACUACUGCGAAAGCAUUUACCAAGGAUGUUUUCAUUAA
RNAcentral lists this ribosomal RNA (363 nucleotides) under uncultured eukaryote. RNAcentral's name for it is "partial 18S ribosomal RNA". It matches the Rfam family "Eukaryotic small subunit ribosomal RNA", at positions 592 to 976 of the family's 1831-position model. The record is from RNAcentral.